AUUGAACGCUGGCGGCAUGCCUUACACAUGCAAGUCGAACGGCAGCACGGGAGCAAUCCUGGUGGCGAGUGGCGAACGGGUGAGUAAUAUAUCGGAACGUGCCCAGUCGUGGGGGAUAACGUAGCGAAAGCUACGCUAAUACCGCAUACGAUCUAUGGAUGAAAGCGGGGGAUCGCAAGACCUCGCGCGAUUGGAGCGGCCGAUAUCAGAUUAGGUAGUUGGUGAGGUAAAGGCUCACCAAGCCGACGAUCUGUAGCUGGUCUGAGAGGACGACCAGCCACACUGGGACUGAGACACGGCCCAGACUCCUACGGGAGGCAGCAGUGGGGGAAUUUUUGGACAAUGGGCGCAAGCCUGAUCCAGCAAUGCCGCGUGCAGGAUGAAGGCCUCGG
Molecule: ribosomal RNA, 392 nt
Filed under: uncultured bacterium
Lineage: Bacteria
Description: bacterial SSU rRNA
Rfam family: Bacterial small subunit ribosomal RNA
Source: RNAcentral